ACUCAAAUGAAUUGACGGGGACUUGCACAAGCGGUGGAUUAUGUGGCUCAAUUCGAUAGCAAACGAAGAACCUCACCAGGGUUUGAAACUCAACUGUAAGCCUUAGGAAACUUUGGCCCUCGCAAGACUGUUGGGCAGGUGAUGCAUGGUCGUCGUCAGUUCGUGGCUUGAGUUGUUCCCUUCAGUGGGGUAACGAACGCAACCCUCGUUGUCUGUUUUAAAAGUCAGGCGAGACUGCUCCCUCACGGGAGAGGAAGGUGAGGAUGACGCCAGAUCAGCAUGUCCCUCUGAUAUCCUGGGCUGCACACAUAAUACAAUGGCAUAGACAACGGGUCGCGACGGGGUAACCCUGAGCUAAUCCUCAUAACUAUGCCCCAGUUCGGAUUGAGGUCUGCAACUCGACCUCAUGAAGCCGGAAUCGCUAGUAAUCGCGGGUCAGCUAUACCGCGGUGAAUACGUUCUCAAGUCUUGCACACACCGCCCGU
RNAcentral lists this ribosomal RNA (485 nucleotides) under uncultured bacterium. RNAcentral describes it as "partial 16S ribosomal RNA". It matches the Rfam family "Bacterial small subunit ribosomal RNA", at positions 899 to 1397 of the family's 1533-position model. The record is from RNAcentral.